AUUCCAAUCGAACCCGGAGAUAGCUGGUUCUCCCCGAAAUAGUUUUAGGACUAGCCUCAAGUUAGAUACCUGGAGGUAAAGCACUGAAUAGCCUAGCGGCCGAGAGGUUAGCGAAGCUUAUCAAACUCAGAAUGCCAGAGUAUUGAUGCUUGGGAGUCAGACAGUGUCAGAUAAAUGUCAUUGUCAAAAGGGAAACAGCCCAGAUCUACAGCUAAGGUCCCAAAGUCAGGUUAAGUGGAAAACGAUGUGAAGAUACGCAGACAACCAGGAUGUUGGCUCAGAAGCAGCCACUCAUUCAAAGAGUGCGUAAUAGCUCACUGGUCGAGCGUCUUUGCGCGGAGAAUUUAACGGGGCUAAACCUGACACCGAAGCUUAGGCAGCAUGUUUACAUGCUGGGUAGGGGAGCGUUGUAUACGCGGAGAAACAGUAGCGCAAGCGGCUGUGGAGUGUAUAGAAGUGAGAAUGCCGGAAUGAGUAGCGCGAAUGCAGUGAGAAUCUGCAUGGCCGAAAGCCUCAGGUUUCUGGAGGAAGGUUCGUCCGCUCCAGGUCAGUCGGGAGCUAAGGUGAGGCCUAACGGCGUAGCCGAUGCACAGACGGUAGAGAUUCCGUCACCACCAAAAGAGUUAAACACAGGGACACAUAUGAAGUCUCGGAGCCGGGUGUUGGUUCCGGUAGCGAUCGAGGGAAGUUAGUACCGAAGUCCGGGAUGGAAGAUGGCGAGAAAAGCUGUGUGUAUUUCUGCGGUGCCCGUACCGCAAACCGACACAGGUAGGUAGGAAGAAGAUUCUAAGGCCAACGGGAGAAGGGUUGUUAAGGAACUCGGCAAAUUGACCCCGUAACUUCGGGAGAAGGGGUGCUGCAGCAAUGCAGCCGCAGAGAAUCGGCCCAAGCAACUGUUUACCAAAAACACAGGUUUGUGCUAAAUCGAAAGAUGACGUAUACGAGCUGACGCCUGCCCGGUGCUGGAAGGUUAAGAGGAGAUGUGCAAGCAUUGAAUCGAAGCCCCAGUGAACGGCGGCCGUAACUAUAACGGUCCUAAGGUAGCGAAAUUCCUUGUCAGGUAAGUUCUGACCCGCAUGAAAGGCGUAAUGAUUUGGGCACUGUCUCAACAGCCCGCCCGGCGAAAUUGUAGUACCGGUGAAGAUGCCGGUUACCCGCGACAAGACGGAAAGACCCCAUGGAGCUUUACUGUAGCCUAAUAUUGGGUUUCGAUGUUGCAUGCACAGGAUAGAUGGGACACUGGGAAGCAGGUGCUUUGGCGCUUGUGGAGUGGCCGUUGGGAUACCAUCCUUGCGAUAUUGGAAUUCUAACCUGCGCCUUUGAAUCAAGGCGGGGGACAUUGUUAGGUGGGCAGUUUGACUGGGGCGGUCGCCUCCUAAAGAGUAACGGAGGCGUUCAAAGGUUCGCUCAGCUUGAACGGAAAUCAAGCAAAAGAGUGCAAACGCAGAAGCGAGCCUAACUGCGAGACUGACGGGUCGAGCAGUAACGAAAGUUGGAGUUAGUGAUCCGGUGGUAUGUGAGUGGAAAUGCCAUCGCUCAACGGAUAAAAGUUACCCUGGGGAUAACAGGCUGAUCUCCCCCAAGAGUCCACAUCGACGGGGAGGUUUGGCACCUCGAUGUCGGCUCAUCGCAUCCUGGGGCUGUAUUCGGUCCCAAGGGUUUGGCUGUUCGCCAAUUAAAGCGGUACGCGAGCUGGGUUCAGAACGUCGUGAGACAGUUCGGUCCCUAUCCGGCGCGGGCGGAGGAUAUUUGAGAGGAGCUGUCCUUAGUACGAGAGGACCGGGAUGGACGGACCACUGGUGUAUCUGUUGUCGACCAACGGCAUGGCAGAGUAGCCAAGUCUGGAAGGGAUAAACGCUGAAGGCAUCUAAGCGUGAAGCCCCCCUCAAGAUGAGAUAUCCCAUUCGAAAGAAGUAAGACCCCUUGAAGACUACAAGGUUGAUAGGCACGAUGUGUAAGUGGAGCGAUCCAUUCAGCAAGCGUGUACUAAUAGGUCGAGGGCUUGACCAC
This 2010-nucleotide ribosomal RNA is filed under the name human gut metagenome. RNAcentral's name for it is "bacterial LSU rRNA". It matches the Rfam family "Bacterial large subunit ribosomal RNA", at positions 826 to 2925 of the family's 2925-position model. The record is from RNAcentral.